AGACAUUGACAGCACAGGAUCUCGCUGGUACCCACGGGUCUGGAGCAGACAGAAUAUACAUACUGGGCAAGCAACAGAUAGAACAGUUAAAGCUGAUCGGUCAGGCGUAAGUCAGGGAGAAGUUAUAGAAACUGACACUGGGGGAUCGCCAUGGUACUCCAGCAUCUGGAGCAGACAGAAUACACAAGCCACAGAUAGAACUGUUAAAUAUGAUAACCCAAGCCUAAAUGAGUCAGAAGGUAAAGGAACCAGUAAUUUGGGAGAAACUCUGUCUAACACGGGCACCUUGAGUAGGCAGCAUUUGCUUCUGACGGAUAAAACAGUUGAUGAUCACAGGCUACUAGAUUCCAAGCUGGGAGAAG
Liolophura sinensis is the source of this 362-nucleotide long non-coding RNA. RefSeq lists it as uncharacterized. NCBI's taxonomy places the organism in Eukaryota, Metazoa, Mollusca, Polyplacophora, Chitonida, Chitonidae. The record is from RefSeq and is a predicted model, not a curated record. The transcript has 3 exons.